AAGCGGCACAGCUCCUCCAGAACCUGUCUAGCAGUCUUUCUGGGUUUUGCUGGAAAGCCCCU
Molecule: small nuclear RNA, 62 nt
Organism: Piliocolobus tephrosceles (Ugandan red Colobus)
Lineage: Eukaryota; Metazoa; Chordata; Mammalia; Primates; Cercopithecidae
Gene: U7
Rfam family: U7 small nuclear RNA
About the family: Animal histone pre-mRNAs are spliced by a different mechanism than nuclear pre-mRNAs and self-splicing introns.
Source: Ensembl